GUGAUUUGAAUUCUUGCAAAACUUGCACUCGAAAGUUUUGACUCCUCUCAAACCAACCCAAACAUCACCUAUAUCAUCUAAAGAGAGAUCAUCCUGGAAAUUUUAGUCAUCGACAAAAUUCCCUAGGCAACCCUAUCAUUCUGUCAAACACCUUGAGUACAGGGUUGAAUUCUGGCCAUUACUCAAGUCUCCACUGCCAACUUGAUCCUAUGAUAAAUCCAACAUGUCCAUCAUCCUUGUCACCUUAUAAGAUCCGUGGAGCCAUGUAGCUUCUGUUAGCAUUUCGUCGAG
RNAcentral lists this long non-coding RNA (291 nucleotides) under Hordeum vulgare. Its description in RNAcentral is "long non-coding RNA (HVUL_LNC003428)". The record is from RNAcentral. Lineage: Eukaryota; Viridiplantae; Streptophyta; Magnoliopsida; Poales; Poaceae.